Molecule: ribosomal RNA, 946 nt
Filed under: uncultured Flavobacterium sp.
Lineage: Bacteria; Pseudomonadati; Bacteroidota; Flavobacteriia; Flavobacteriales; Flavobacteriaceae
Description: bacterial SSU rRNA
Rfam family: Bacterial small subunit ribosomal RNA
Source: RNAcentral
AUCCGGAUUUAUUGGGUUUAAAGGGUGCGUAGGCGGCCUGUUAAGUCAGGGGUGAAAGACGGUAGCUCAACUAUCGCAGUGCCCUUGAUACUGACGGGCUUGAAUGGACUAGAGGUAGGCGGAAUGAGACAAGUAGCGGUGAAAUGCAUAGAUAUGUCACAGAACACCGAUUGCGAAGGCAGCUUACUAUGGUCUUAUUGACGCUGAGGCACGAAAGCGUGGGGAUCAAACAGGAUUAGAUACCCUGGUAGUCCACGCCCUAAACGAUGAACACUCGCUGUUGGCGAUACACAGUCAGCGGCUAAGCGAAAGCGUUAAGUGUUCCACCUGGGGAGUACGGUCGCAAGAUUGAAACUCAAAGGAAUUGACGGGGGCCCGCACAAGCGGAGGAGCAUGUGGUUUAAUUCGAUGAUACGCGAGGAACCUUACCCGGGCUUGAAAGUUAGUGAAUGAUUUAGAGAUAGAUCAGUGAGCAAUCACACGAAACUAGGUGCUGCAUGGCUGUCGUCAGCUCGUGCCGUGAGGUGUUGGGUUAAGUCCCGCAACGAGCGCAACCCCUAUGUUUAGUUGCCAGCACGUUAAGGUGGGGACUCUAAACAGACUGCCUGUGCAAACAGAGAGGAAGGAGGGGACGACGUCAAGUCAUCAUGGCCCUUACGUCCGGGGCUACACACGUGCUACAAUGGAUGGUACAGAGGGCAGCUACAUAGCAAUAUGAUGCGAAUCUCACAAAGCCAUUCACAGUUCGGAUUGGGGUCUGCAACUCGACCCCAUGAAGUUGGAUUCGCUAGUAAUCGCGUAUCAGCAAUGACGCGGUGAAUACGUUCCCGGGCCUUGUACACACCGCCCGUCAAGCCAUGGAAGUUGGGGGUACCUAAAGUAUGUAACCGCAAGGAGCGUCCUAGGGUAAAACCGAUAACUGGGGCUAAGUCGUAACAAGGUAGCA